AUUAUGCACUGACAACAUGCUGUGCUGCAAUAUGGUUCUCCGGCUUGGAGCUGUCUGUCCAUUAACAGCAUUGUCCUACUGCAGUAACCCCAGAGCACGACAAUUGGCACACAGACUUCUUAACCACUUAAGAGAGUAUCGCAAUAGAAAAGGUGAUGGGCAGGGUGUGGAUCUUGGGAGGAUAUCUCUUCAGACUUAGACCGUUUGGCACUCUCAAGAGUCAAGAGAUAUAAGUAAGAAGUUAGCUAGUCAAUUUUCUAACCAUACUAUGGCGUCACAUGAUGAAGACUCCCAUUUACACCAUCAUCAUACUACUUCUGCAUCCAACGAAAAUUCAAAUUUAAAUUGUUUGCAUGCAACUGCUGGUCAUAGAAUUGAGGUUUCUUCACACUCAUCAGC
Long non-coding RNA from Ipomoea nil (Japanese morning glory), 399 nucleotides. RefSeq lists it as uncharacterized. The transcript has 3 exons. NCBI's taxonomy places the organism in Eukaryota, Viridiplantae, Streptophyta, Magnoliopsida, Solanales, Convolvulaceae. The record is from RefSeq and is a predicted model, not a curated record.